RNAcentral lists this long non-coding RNA (946 nucleotides) under Carica papaya (papaya). RNAcentral describes it as "long non-coding RNA (CPAP_LNC002196)". Lineage: Eukaryota; Viridiplantae; Streptophyta; Magnoliopsida; Brassicales; Caricaceae. The record is from RNAcentral.
UCAUACAAAUCAUAACUUCAUGCACGAUCAACAACACAGAACAUAUCAUAAAUUCACAUUUAUUAACAGUAAACUAAAUCAUAACCGUUUCUCGUUUUACCAGCCUACUAGUAGCCAUGGGGAUGCAUAGGGGUGUUCCUACUAUAUGUGAACCCUUUCCCUUAAUAAUCUUAAUUACAUAGCCGACCCCAUACCCCGUCUGGUAUGAGUGCCAAAAUAUUAAACCUUAAUACUCUAUCCGGUAUGAGGGUGAAGCGGCCGCCCCCAUACCCCGUCUGGUAUGAGCACCAAAUUACCAAAUCUCCAUACCCCAUUCGGUAUGAGACAACUUUCACAGUAGGGUUCCCUAUAAAUUCAGUCCGUCCACCAUCUCCUAGGAUAUCUAGUGAGGCUGUCAUCUUAUCUGUUUAUUAGAUCACAUCCCUUUCCUGUUUUUUCUUAGUCUCCGUUACCAAAUCAAACAUAAUCACAUAAAAAAAUAAAUAUGCAUCCGGUAAUGCAAUCAUAUCUUAAAUCCCAAAAUCAAACAGUGAUCAAGUAAGACAGUAAUACAUGAAUUUAAACCAUAAACUAGAUAAACCAGAUACCAUCAUGCUUUUACACUAUAAAAUAAAUCAACAUAAAUCAACAUAAAUCAACAGAGAACAAUGCCCGAUUCGGGCUCCAUUCGCAAUCCGUAAUUAAUUAUGCACAUCUAUUUAAUUUUUACAAAAGACCGUAUUAUUAUUUAUUUAAACUUCAAAUCCAUGAUAGGAAAUAGGGCGAGGGGUCCUUACUUGAUUUGACGCUGAAAAGCUAAAUGGUUACUGCGCCUACGAGUGGUCAUUGAGUUCCCUAAAUUUUUCUUCAAGAACUGAAAUGUGCUUACGGUACCCACAAAUGUCCCAAUUAAACCCAAAAAUUAGUCCCAGGGCCUACUCGACCAAUUUCAGAAAUCUGCCACGGU